CCUGACGACCAUCAGGACUAGUGCAACAAAUCAAGUCUACCGCGGUUAUCAAGUUUCUUCGACAGCCUCUCAGACAGCAACAUGUUGCGAUCUAAGAAGUCAUCGAGACCGCGGACAUGUGAUACACCCAAACCAGGCUGAUCCAAAUCACGGAAUAUACAUUGUUGAUACCACAAGAUACUACGAUGUUGUUGUAGCCACAGCACCACUCAGGCUUGAUGUCUUCCAUUGUAGCGGCCCAGAACCGUUGACCCGGCAUCAGCUCACCAAACGAGUUCAGUUUACCAGUUCCAAAGGCUAGGUGGCCAGUAUUAGAGUCGCCAACGAUACAUGUGGAGUUUCGAUUCUUCCAACUGACUGAUCGAAAGGUCAGGCUGUAUCGAACUCCUUUUUUCACAGAACCCUUCUCUAUACGAUGAGAGAAGAAGUCCUGUGACCGCCGAGUCAUUCGGUACAUUGAUCUGUGGCUGCAGUCUAACUUGAGACUGUCAGUCUUAGAGCUUUUCUCAGCAAACAAGAUCUCACAAGAUUCACCCACUGUGAUCGUAAAAAUUGACGAUUCGGGGUGGAUAGUGAUCUCAUUAUCUGAGUGUUCUGGAAGAAAGCUCUCCUGACCAACGUAUCGAUUGACCAAGCAGGAGUUGAUAACUGGUGCUGCUCCUUUCUUCUUCAGCUCGGGAUAGAUCUUGUAGAACUCAUCAGCCUGCAUCUUAUUGAUCGACUCCACUAAGGGUUGCAAGGCUUCAGGAAUGGUGGGCGGACUGGUGGUCGCUUUUGACCCUACAUAAGAAUAUGGAUGGCCAAACGAUUUCACUGAGUGACCAUUCUCAUCAUUAAAUUCAGUGGCUGUUAGGAAGUCAACGAUGGUCUGUGCAGCCUGUUCAUUAAUAAAAUCGUUGAUCAUUGUUGCCGGGACCAUACCGGAUGGGACUGCAGGGGGCUCAAACACUAGAUGCUCUGGACGGGGAGGAGGCGUGGCAACAUGUUCUGGUUGUGGGGUGGCCGUGGUUGAUAUGCUCUCGAGUUUUACUGAUAAGGCCUUCAGCGUUGAAUUGGUCUUAUCUUGUUGCAGAUUUAAGUGCGUGAGACCUGUGCUUAUUUCUGAUAAGGCCACCACUCUCUCAGCAAUCUGAUUGUAGCUGCUACUAAUCCUGUCGGUGUCUGCAAUCAGAGAAGUUAGUCUAUCCUCGAGAGAGGUUAUCUGCUUCGUAAGCAAAGCAUUGUCAUCUGACAAGUUGGAUAUUCUCAGAAUCAGACUGUCCGUUUGUGUGUUGUUGCGGGCUUCAACACCCGGUGGACUGAAGCAAA
Long non-coding RNA from Bolinopsis microptera, 1308 nucleotides. RefSeq lists it as uncharacterized. The transcript has 3 exons. Lineage: Eukaryota; Metazoa; Ctenophora; Tentaculata; Lobata; Bolinopsidae. The record is from RefSeq and is a predicted model, not a curated record.